AAACCAUAAUGGGAACACUAUCUUUUUAAAUCCUUAAAUCUUUCCCAAGCUUCAUAUAAAGACUCGUUAUCCUUUUGGUAAAAAGUAGCAAUUUCAUUUCUCAAUUU
Mangifera indica (mango) is the source of this 107-nucleotide small nucleolar RNA. Lineage: Eukaryota; Viridiplantae; Streptophyta; Magnoliopsida; Sapindales; Anacardiaceae. The record is from RefSeq and is a predicted model, not a curated record.